RNAcentral lists this microRNA precursor (57 nucleotides) under Chinchilla lanigera (long-tailed chinchilla). Its description in RNAcentral is "miRNA (ENSCLAG00000021199.1)". Lineage: Eukaryota; Metazoa; Chordata; Mammalia; Rodentia; Chinchillidae. The record is from RNAcentral.
ACCGGGCAUGGUGGUGCACACCUGUAAUCCUAGCACUCAGGAGGCUGAGGCAGGAGG